CUAUUAUAUAUGUGUGUUAUAUUAAUAUAUUGUUAAAUCCAAUAGAACCAUAUGCAAACAAAAAUAAUUGCAGGUUUGAAUUACUCCAGUAUCUCUGUAUUACACCCAAAGCUGUACAUACACAUAUAUAGAUAGAUGGAAUGUCUAUUAAAUGGGAAAUACAUUUAAGCAACACAGGGUUUAUGUUAGACAUUUUAUCUUUGCUCUUGGAAGGUUCUAUGUGCCAGACGACGGCUGUCUGUGAAUUAACUCUUUGUGUGCCAAAGGAAUAAAGAUGUUUGGUUUGGUUUAGGGGUCUAACAGAAAUUUGUUUUGAUCUGCGACUUGAGAAAUUAAGAUCAGAAUAGCAGAG
Molecule: non-coding RNA, 352 nt
Organism: Pelobates cultripes (western spadefoot toad)
Lineage: Eukaryota; Metazoa; Chordata; Amphibia; Anura; Pelobatidae
Source: the annotation of a GenBank genome assembly